UCGUAACGAACGAGACCUUAUCCUACUAUUUAGGGGAACUGACUUUGUCAAGUUUGUCAUCUUAGAGGGGCUGCGAAUGUAUAAUUCGUGGAAGUUUGAGGCAAUAACAGGUCUGUGAUGCCCUUAGAUGUUCUGGGCCGCACGCGCGCUACACUGACAGUAACAUUUAGUAUACCUCCACUGACAAGUUGGGGCAAUCUCGUGAAAUGCUGUCGUGUUUGGGAUAGUCCCUUGCAAUUAUUGGACUUGAACGAGGAAUUCCUAGUAAGCGCCAGUCAUCAACUUGUGCUGAUUAUGUCCCUGCCCUUUGUACACACCGCCCGUCGCUACUACCGGAUUGAAUGGC
Molecule: ribosomal RNA, 346 nt
Filed under: uncultured fungus
Lineage: Eukaryota; Fungi
Description: bacterial SSU rRNA
Rfam family: Eukaryotic small subunit ribosomal RNA
Source: RNAcentral